This is a long non-coding RNA of Aethina tumida (small hive beetle), 742 nucleotides long. RefSeq lists it as uncharacterized. The transcript is spliced from 3 exons. The record is from RefSeq and is a predicted model, not a curated record. Lineage: Eukaryota; Metazoa; Arthropoda; Insecta; Coleoptera; Nitidulidae.
CGUGCGUAUGUUUGGUUAUAUAGGUUAUAAUUAAUGUUGACAGAAACAGAAAGUGUUACCCAUUUAUAUACACAAGAAGGAAUUAAGGAAGGAAAAGUAAAAGAUGAAACUGAAGACUGAAACGAAAUUUCAACCUAAGGGACAAAAUGUGACACAAGUUUUAAAGUCAAGGUGAUUGUACAGUUAAGUCGGAGAACAGAGACAAUUAUUUAAAUAAAAGAAGUUGGAAUGUAAAAAUAAGAUUUGGUUGUUCGAUGAAAACAUUACAAUGAAAACGUGUGACACAGGGCAUGUGAAGAAAUAAUUAUGAUGCUCAAGCAUUUUCAACAUGAGAUUAAACAAAAUCACCUAUCUGCUUUGGUCAAAAAUGUGAUAACAUGAGCUCAAGAUAAGUGUGGAAAAGUUCAUAGUUCAUCUCUGGCAGUUAUCGACAAGAUUCUGGAAUAUGUAUAUCAUCUGCUGCAAAAUAUAAUUUCUUCAGACACAAGAGGACAACAAUGCCAACAUCGCAAAUAAUAGACCAUCAGUUAUUGGACAAUUUAAAAUUGUAUAAUGUACAAAAUGGUUCCAUAACUAUAUACAUAUUAGGCACAAUUAUUUAAAAUAGGCAAUAUUUUAAGUAACAACAUAUGCUAAGAUUUACUAUUCUAUUGUGUUAAUUAUAUUAUACUUUAGAUAAAUUGUAUUGUUAUUGUCAAAAUUAAGGUUUAUAACUUGCUGCACCUUGAACAUUGGGGUUGUU